RNAcentral lists this long non-coding RNA (485 nucleotides) under Cricetulus griseus (Chinese hamster). Its description in RNAcentral is "lncRNA (ENSCGRG00015034687.1)". The record is from RNAcentral. Lineage: Eukaryota; Metazoa; Chordata; Mammalia; Rodentia; Cricetidae.
GCCGGAGCUUCCUGGUGCGCUCUUCCACCCGCGCCUGUCUCUGGUGCUUCCUCCCCGCAGGGCUGUCAGCGCCGGCUGCAGCCGCCCCUGCGAGGCUGGAGCGGAACCGGGAAUCUCAGGGAGGGAACUUGGCGAGGGAGCUACGCCGACCGCCGCCACCCUGGCGCUGAGGGUCGGUGCUGCACCACCAAUCUGAUGGAACAGCCUUUUGGAGCAUGACAAGAAGAUCCAUGGUUACCUCCCUGGAGACUCCUGCUGCUUCAUUACCUCAUUUCCCAUGCCUACGAAGGCAGAAAAGUCAGCUAUCCAGGGAAUGAGACAAAGACUGCAGCCUGGGAAUCAGGCAGGAAAGCAAGCAGCAGCAGAAAUAUUGUGGAAUUCUCUUCAUAGAACCUUCUUUGGGCCACAUAUUAGGCCUAAAAUAUACCCUACUGAGUCUCACCAAAAGCAUCCUGUUCUAGGGAGACCACUGCCACCAACUCUGG